RNAcentral lists this ribosomal RNA (253 nucleotides) under uncultured bacterium. RNAcentral describes it as "partial 16S ribosomal RNA". It matches the Rfam family "Bacterial small subunit ribosomal RNA", at positions 524 to 776 of the family's 1533-position model. The record is from RNAcentral.
UACAGAGGUCUCAAGCGUUGUUCGGAUUCAUUGGGCGUAAAGGGUGUGUAGGUGGCGCGCUAAGUCGGGUGUGAAAUUUCGGAGCUUAACUCCGAAACUGCAUUCGAUACUGGCGUGCUUGAGGACUGGAGAGGAGACUGGAAUUCAUGGUGUAGCAGUGAAAUGCGUAGAGAUCAUGAGGAAGACCAGUGGCGAAGGCGGGUCUCUGGACAGUUCCUGACACUGAGACGCGAAAGCGUGGGUAGCAAACAGG